ACCCAACUCUUCUGGGGAGCUACAAUGGUCCUUAGUGCAUUGCUUUGGGCAGGUCCUGUUACAGAGAGGUUCCUGCAGCUUUGGCCAUGCAAGUCUUUCCUUCACAGGGAACUUCACAUCCUGGCCUCUGCCUCUGCGAAGGAAGACCCACAUCCUCAAUCUCAGCUGUACUCUUCCAAGGAAUGAAAUCUAGUUGGUUUGAUGCGAUUUGUCUCCUGUGUGUAACUGCAGAGCUUGGCAGAACCCGGGCAGAUAUUUCUGGUGGGAUGCAACAUGAUGGUGACUCUUCUCCUGCCCAGCCCAACUGUGACAGGGAGCUGCUGCAACUAAUAAGUUGAUCCCACCUGGUGCAGAGAGCGCAGUGCCUCGCAGGGACAUCACCAUCCUGCUUAGUCCUGCAGUGAGCAGAGCUGGCAGCUGGAACUGGAGUGCGAUUUGGAGUGUGUUUGGGUUCCCUUGCCACUGUCAAGAAUUACCCUGAAGAGUACUUAAAUAUCUCUCUUAAUGAUUGCAUUAAGUUUCAUGCCACCGAUAUUCCUGGCAGUUCCUCUGCCAGCUAAAGUGCUAAAUAUCCUGAUUUUAUCGUGCAUACCUAUGGAUUACAAAUAGAUCUUAUUAACUGCUCAGAACUGACACAUCUAUU
RNAcentral lists this long non-coding RNA (643 nucleotides) under Gallus gallus (chicken). RNAcentral describes it as "long non-coding RNA NONGGAT005305". The record is from RNAcentral. Lineage: Eukaryota; Metazoa; Chordata; Aves; Galliformes; Phasianidae.